This 99-nucleotide ribosomal RNA is filed under the name Manihot esculenta (cassava). RNAcentral describes it as "Eukaryotic small subunit ribosomal RNA". It matches the Rfam family "Eukaryotic small subunit ribosomal RNA", at positions 1190 to 1290 of the family's 1831-position model. The record is from Rfam by way of RNAcentral. Lineage: Eukaryota; Viridiplantae; Streptophyta; Magnoliopsida; Malpighiales; Euphorbiaceae.
UUAAUUUGACUCAAGACGGGAAAACUUACCAGGUUCAGACAUAGUAAGGAUUGACAGACUGAGAGCUCUUUCUUAAUUAAAUCAGUUAUCGUUUGGCUA